This 29-nucleotide non-coding RNA is filed under the name Mus musculus (house mouse). The record is from RNAcentral. Lineage: Eukaryota; Metazoa; Chordata; Mammalia; Rodentia; Muridae.
UAAAAGGUAUAUUGCUUGACUUUUUAAUG